CCCGCCAUGAGCACGACCUGUGUGAGAGCACAGGGUAUCUGGGCAGAAGGAAAACUAGGGGAGCCUCAUCCAGCGCUGGAGAUGGAGAAGCUUUGGGCUUCUCGACGGCGAGGCACCCGGGGAACGGGGAGUCACUUAGAACCUCAAAGUAGCCUCGGGCGAGAACAAGCGAAGCAAUUCCAAGCUCUACCAGGUCACGGAGGGCGCGAAACCCGCCCCGCGCUCCGGCCGGCCGGCAGGGGGCGCGCGCUCCCCGAACUCCCGCGCACCGCGGAGGAGGCGGCCCUGGCGCGGGGAAGCAGUGGGAAAAUCGCAAGGAAGCCGGCGGCUGUGGGGAGUUGAUUCGGAAGUGAAGGGCCCUGGGCGACCCGGCGAGUAGAGGCAACACCAACACUCCUCCUUAGCGAGGGGUCUCCCCGCCGCGGUGGCUGCCCGGCCCCAAGGACAGGAGGGAUUUGUGCACUGACUCCUGACCCCGUCCUCCAGCGCUGCUCUGAAGGGAGAGUCUGUGCAGUGGCACCUGCGCGAAGCUGGCCAAAGCCUGCCCAGACGGCUCACCUGUGCGGGAUGGAACAAAAGAAUUUCGCUCUUGUUGCCCACUGUUGUCCAGGCUGGAGUGCAAUGGCACGAUCUCAGCUCACCACAACCUCCGCCUCCUGGGUUCAAGUGAUUCUCCUACCUCAGCCUCCUGAGUAGCUGGGAUUACAGGUCGGCUUGAGGUUUGCGAGUCCCAGCUCCCACUGCCCCUGCCACCUGCCUUUCCCUUCUCAGGACAUACACAGGACUGGGAGAAAAUAGACUAAGGGUAUGGCACUGUCAGCGGAAGACUGUCAGAUCUCUGCAGCAUGACCCUCAUCCUUGUUCCCAACCUUUUCUGUCAGUCACUGUCUGCCUCCCUUUCUUUGGUUGGCUGCCCAUCAAUGACCUAUUAUCAUCAUUGCCAUAGAUCCCUGAGAAGCACUCCCCCUCCCACAGUUGCCAUUCCAAUCUUGCUACACAGUAUAAGAGCCCUCUUGGCUUCUGAGGGUUAAAUGUUGCCAUCCAGAAUGGUUAAAUGCCAUUCCAGAAUCGUGUCAUCCCCAAGACACUAAGGAGCCAAGUUCCAUGGCAGCAUCUCCUAGCCACAGAGCACAGCCACCACCAGCUUUCUAUGACACCAGUGCCCCCUCACGUCCACAUUCUGCAUUGCCUUAGUGAAGAGCGCCUCCUCUGGGCAGCUCCAUGAAACACCUUCUGGUCUCAUGUAAUAAAUCCGUUCUAACAUUCCCACUUCCCUGAGCCUUCAUCUCUACCUCAUUAAUGGUAGGCCACUAUGGUGUCCAAGCUUCCGGGAGCCGUCUGGCGUGAAGACAAGCUCCAGCUGUCCUUUGACAGGACUUUAAAUCCUGAGUCUUGGGGCAUGCACCCUUGUCAAUCAAUGCCCCACCGGUCUUCUAUUGCCCCCUCCCCGCCUGGAUCUGGUACCCCACCUGGAUCUGGUACCCUCAUGAUCGCUCCCGCAAGUGUUCUCCCAGGUCCUGCAACUUUUUGGGUGACUGAGUGAUUUCCUCCUAGGGUAGGAAAUAUUUCACUGCUUGGGCUAUGCUGAGAUGUGAUCCUGCUUGUUGGUCUGGAGGCAAUGAGAGGAGGUGGAUCUUGAGGAGGAUUAGUGUUAUCUUACAGGGUACUCACCUGUAACGGGGAGAUCUCUGCACUGUCUCCAGGCUAGAUGAAGCUGUCCUCCUCUGUCAAUGGGAAGAAGGCAGUUUCUGCUGGCCAGGAUGCUUCAGGGGACUCUGGGGGCUCAAGGUUCUUUGGUACAUCCACCCAAACAUCCCACGUCAGGCCUAGAGUCCCAUUUAUUCCUUUAAAAGCACCCAAUGGGCCGGUUACUGUGGCUCAUGUCUGUAAUCCCAGAAGUUUGUGAGGCCAUGGCAGGUGGAUCAGUUGAGGCCAGGAGUUCGAAACCAGCCUGAGGAACAUAGCAAGAUCCCCGUCUCUACAAAAAUAAAAAUAAUAGAAGCCCCCACUUUAGUACAGGAGACCUGCUGAGGAUGCACAAGUGUCUUUUGCAGCUCUGCUGCUCUUGUGAUGAAAUAUUGGUUCUCAUUUUCAGCAUGCUCUGCCUCCUGGCCACGGAAGCAAGGUUUUCUUUACAUGUUGUCUUGGGAGAGUUCCUGCCUUUCACAGCAUACUCUGAGUAGAUAGCAGGCUGAACUGCAUCUUUCAUUCUCUUGCUUCAAAGCUGCUAAGGUGAUUUAGAAAAGCUAGCCACCUCCAUAAUCCUUGCAACAGCAGCUGCUUCCACAUCUUUCAAGUGACAAAGCUACUGCAUAAGCCAAGCUUUCUCUUCAACUUCUAUCUCCUUAUCUACCACAGGUAAGAGUCUCAUGCUUCAGGACACAAGGUUAUCACCAACUGUGUGUGUGUGUGUGUGUGUGUCUUUGUUGCCUUCCGAAUGGUAAGUGAUCUACUUUUAGAUUCCUAUCGCUAGGUCUGUCUUCUAGUGCUACCUCUAUUACUCAUUGCCUUAGCUUGAAUCCUCACAAAAACAGAGCUUGAUCCUGGAACUUCGGCAUAGUUAACUUGGGACAUUCCAGGAAACUGUAAUCCAUGUAAUUCCAUGCCUAUAAUCCCAGCACUCUGGGGGCCAAGGUGGGUGAAUCAGUUGAGGCCAGGAGUUUGAGACCAGCCUGGUCAACAUGGGGAGAGAGAUUGGGAAGAGUGACCCAGGGUACAGAACCAUGAGCCACAGCUGCAGCUUCAGUCAGAGCAGGGCUGACCAGAUAUAACCAGAAGUCCCAACAGCAUCCUGGACACCUCUCCUGCCUCCUAAGGGUGCAGAAAUCUGUGACAAUGGCUAAGCAGUAUCUGCUCCUCUGGAUUCAGGUGCCUAUCUCUUGUGGAGCUUUGUUCAUUCUAGAAGUACUUGGAGAGGUCCAAGCAUCGUGCCUCACGCCUGUAAUCCCAGCACUUUGGUGGCCAAGGUGGGCGGAUCAGUUGAGGUCAGGAGUUUGAGACCAGCCCGGUCAACAUGGCAAAACCCCACCUCUGCUAAAAACACAAAAAUUAGCCAAUCGUGGUCGUGCAGACCUGUAAUCCUAGCUACUUGGGAGGCUGAGGUAGGAGAAUCACUUGAACUCGGGAGGCAGAGGUUGCAGUAAGCCGAGAUUGCGCCACUGCACUCCAGCUUGGGCAACAGAGUGAGACUACGUCUCAAAGAAAAAAUAGGCUGGGCGCGGUGGCUCACGCCGGUAAUCCCAGCACUUUGGGAGGCUGAGACGGGUGGAUUAUGAGGUCAGGAGUUCGAGACCAGCCUGACCAAUAUGGUGAAACCCCGUCUCUACUAAAAAUACAAAAAUUAGUCCAGCAUGGUAGUGUGUGCCUGCAGUCCCAGAUACUUGGGAGGCUGAGGCAGGAGAAUAGCUUGAACCUGGGAGGCGAAGGUUGGAGUGAGCUGAAAUUGUGCCACUGCACUCCAGCCUGGGCGACAAAGUGAGACUCCAUCUCAAAAUAAAUAAAAAAAUAAAAAUAAAAAUAGCAAUACAACUAUUUGGAGAGGGCCAAAUAAGUGGGGAGCACUUCUCCACACUGAGAUACAGGCGGGAACAGAACAACAAACCCCAUAGAGCUUAUGUUUUAGUUGGAGGAGACUAAGAAUAAAUACAAUAUGUAGUAGGUCAAGUGUUAAUGGGUGCUAGAAACAAGAAGUGGGGGCCAGGCACGGUGGCUCACACCUGUAAUCCCAGUACUCUGGGAGGUCGAGGUGGGUGGAUCACCUGAGAUAAGGGGUUCAAAACCAGCCUGGCCAACAUGGUGAAACCCCAUCUCUACCAAAAAUACAAAAAUCAGCUGGGCAUGGUGGCGGACACCUGUAAUCCCAGCUAGUCAGGAGGCUGAGGCAGGAGAAUUGCUG
This 3895-nucleotide long non-coding RNA is filed under the name Homo sapiens (human). RNAcentral describes it as "HSALNT0098847". Lineage: Eukaryota; Metazoa; Chordata; Mammalia; Primates; Hominidae. The record is from RNAcentral.